AUCAUGCCUUGGUAGUUUUUAUGGGCCAGACUGGGAACAGGCAUAAAUCACUUCCAUUCACAUUCUCUUGUGCGGAAUUCAGUCCACAUGGCCACAUCUAACUUCAAGGAAUGCUUUGCGCCCAUGAAAAAGAGGAGGUUGUAUAUUUGCCUAUGAAGAAAUUCUUUGCUGCCAAUUUUGCUGAAAUGGAGAGAAGCACAGGUAAAGAAGAGACACGAUUUCUUCAGGUUGACUUCAGAAUGACCCAGUAAUGUAGGAUAACAGAAGUUUUACCUAAAUUUGAUGCCCCAAAACCUGAAUUUUGAAGAGAAAUCUCUUGUGGUAAGUGUGGAGUACUGUUUAGAAACUUUGGAAGAAGAAAAAUGUUCAUCUAGGAGAUAAAACUUUAUGUUCAGUUGGGGAAUUGUGUAAACAGUAUAGUUGAG
RNAcentral lists this long non-coding RNA (425 nucleotides) under Equus caballus (horse). RNAcentral's name for it is "lncRNA (ENSECAG00000049274.1)". Lineage: Eukaryota; Metazoa; Chordata; Mammalia; Perissodactyla; Equidae. The record is from RNAcentral.